CCUACGGGAGGCAGCAGUGAGGAAUAUUGGUCAAUGGGCUCGAGCCUGAACCAGCCAAGUCGCGUGAAGGAUGACUGCCCUACGGGUUGUAAACUUCUUUUAUCAAGGAAUAAAGUGAGCCACGUGUGCCUUUUUUUAUGUACUUUAUGAAUAAGGCUCGGCUAACUCCGUGCCAGCAGCCGGGGUAAUUCGGAGGAUCCGAGCGUUAUCCCGAUUUAUUGGGGUUAAAGGGAGCGGUAAGGGGUUUUUAAGUCAGUUGGGAAAGUUUGCGGCUCAACCGUAAAAUUGCAAUUGAUACUGGCAGCCUUGAGUACAGUUGAGGUAGGCGGAAUGCGUGGUGUAGCGGUGAAAUGCUUAGAUAUCACGAAGAACUCCGAUUGCGAAGGCAGCUUACCAACCUGCCACUGACAUUGAUGCUCGAAAGUGUGGGUAUCAAACAGGAUUAGAUACCCGAGUAGUC
Molecule: ribosomal RNA, 460 nt
Filed under: uncultured bacterium
Lineage: Bacteria
Description: partial 16S ribosomal RNA
Rfam family: Bacterial small subunit ribosomal RNA
Source: RNAcentral